RNAcentral lists this small RNA (859 nucleotides) under uncultured Aspergillus. RNAcentral's name for it is "eukaryotic LSU rRNA". The stretch from base 576 to 859 matches the Rfam family "Eukaryotic large subunit ribosomal RNA", at positions 1 to 281 of the family's 3401-position model. The record is from RNAcentral. Lineage: Eukaryota; Fungi; Ascomycota; Eurotiomycetes; Eurotiales; Aspergillaceae.
CUUGGUCAUUUAGAGGAAGUAAAAGUCGUAACAAGGUUUCCGUAGGUGAACCUGCGGAAGGAUCAUUACCGAGUGUAGGGUUCCUAGCGAGCCCAACCUCCCACCCGUGUUUACUGUACCUUAGUUGCUUCGGCGGGCCCGCCAUUCAUGGCCGCCGGGGGCUCUCAGCCCCGGGCCCGCGCCCGCCGGAGACACCACGAACUCUGUCUGAUCUAGUGAAGUCUGAGUUGAUUGUAUCGCAAUCAGUUAAAACUUUCAACAAUGGAUCUCCUGGUUCCGGCAUCGAUGAAGAACGCAGCGAAAUGCGAUAACUAGUGUGAAUUGCAGAAUUCCGUGAAUCAUCGAGUCUUUGAACGCACAUUGCGCCCCCUGGUAUUCCGGGGGGCAUGCCUGUCCGAGCGUCAUUGCUGCCCAUCAAGCACGGCUUGUGUGUUGGGUCGUCGUCCCCUCUCCGGGGGGGACGGGCCCCAAAGGCAGCGGCGGCACCGCGUCCGAUCCUCGAGCGUAUGGGGCUUUGUCACCCGCUCUGUAGGCCCGGCCGGCGCUUGCCGAACGCAAAUCAAUCUUUUCCAGGUUGACCUCGGAUCAGGUAGGGAUACCCGCUGAACUUAAGCAUAUCAAUAAGCGGAGGAAAGGAAACCAACCGGGAUUGCCUCAGUAACGGCGAGUGAAGCGGCAAGAGCUCAAAUUUGAAAGCUGGCUCCUUCGGGGUCCGCAUUGUAAUUUGCAGAGGAUGCUUCGGGUGCGGCCCCUGUCUAAGUGCCCUGGAACGGGCCGUCAGAGAGGGUGAGAAUCCCGUCUGGGAUGGGGUGUCCGCGCCCGUGUGAAGCUCCUUCGACGAGUCGAGUUGUUUGGGAAU